UCUUCAGGCGACGAUAAUUGUUGUUAAUGUUAUAUCUGUAAUAUAAUAUAAUAUAAUAUUAAUAUAGUAUAACAUUAACAACAAUUGUCGCCUGAAG
This is a non-coding RNA of Paramuricea clavata, 97 nucleotides long. NCBI's taxonomy places the organism in Eukaryota, Metazoa, Cnidaria, Anthozoa, Malacalcyonacea, Plexauridae. The record is from the annotation of a GenBank genome assembly.